GUGUUCAUUCUUCUUCGCUGCGUUUAACCUCUUAUAUAGGAUAUGUUCGUCGUAUAAGCAAUUGGUGUAGUGAUUGACUUGGAGGAAAUCUGUGUUCACCGAAGAACUCAUUCGUGAUAAAUUGAUGUAAACUUUGGCUGUUAACGAUUAAGCGAUAAAUAUUGAUCGAAAAUAUCGAGGUACUUAAUUUUGUCGAUUGAUUUCUUUCGAUCGUAAUUAACAGUGAAAUUAUUUAGAGAACAGAAUUGUGCAUAUAAAUUUAUACAGUCUAUCAGUUUAUUAUUUCAAACCAGUUUAUUUGCAUUAUAAAAUGAAGAAUUUAGAUCAAUGAUCGAGGAGCGAUGAUAUCGCAAAUGGUGGAUGACGACGUUAAUGAUGAUAUAAUUACCUUUAACGGCGGCCUCGUAGGAUCCUUCCUGAGCUCCGCGUAACGAGCCUCGAAGCUGUCGUCCCAGUAUUCCCGGCUGCGCAUCCAUGAUGGCUGUAACAGAAAUAAAAGAGGACGAGUUAUACACGGGGUGACGAAUUAUUCGACAGGCGAGAAAACUAUGGAAAAAAAAAAUGUUAAUAAUCUCCUCACUUACGAAUAUUCGGAUUAAAAAAUUCAGUGACAUUUUUCAGUGACAAUUUACUCCGAAAAAAAAAAGAAAAAAAGAACAAGAAACUUCUUAAAUGUCUAUCAAUGCUGCAAAUGGAAAUAUUAAUUAAAAAGUUCAAAAGUUAUACAAAAAUGUCACAAAAUUUUUAGAUUUUUACCUCCCCCCUCUCAAAAAAAAAUUUCUUAAAUGUCCAUCAGUCGUGCAAAUAUUAAUUAAAAAGUUCAAGAGCUAAAAAUGUCAUUAAAUUUUUCGAUUUGUGUGGAAUGAGACGGGGGAAGGAAAAAAAAUCGACAAGACGAACGUGUGAUUUUUAUCCAGAUGUCAAGCGUUACCAGGCGAUUUUUAAUUAAUAAUUAAUCAUUCGACUUAUCGCGACGAAUAACCGACGGACGUUUGCAACGACUUUAGAACACGAUACGACUGUUACAUCGAUGGAAUGAGUCAUAGAAUUUACCAUGUGCGAUAAGAAAGUGCGAGAUUAUUAACAUUUGGAUGAACGAGGUGGAUAAUGGGGAAAAAAAAUCGCCCCUCGAACAAUUCAUCCACGUCGAGUUUUAAAAAUUGACGAUAGGUAAUUAUCGCGUGAAAAUAAUUUUAAGUUAUAAGUCAUGUUGCUUGAUAGUAUCAACUGGAACUGUGACGAUGCAGUUUUCGUUAAUGGUAUGUAUUGUGUAUUUAAUAUUAUUACGAAUAAAUGAUUAUCAUGAUUCAUAUACUCAAUCUUUUUAUAUUUUUUUUAUAUUUUAAAAAAGAGAGAGAGAAAAAGAAAUUGGAUUAACCAAGUGAUUUUGAUGACAAUUUAAUGAUAAAAGUUAAGAAAGAUAAUUUUAAUAUGAAAUAAAAUUUUACAAAUAUUUAAAUAAACACAGAAUUUUUAUUUUUAUAUCUUUUAGAAUAAACUUCUGAAGGAUUCCAUUCCAAUCAGUUGGCGUUCAAACUUUAGACCAGUGGUUCACAACCUGUUGAUCGCAGAGUAUUUAUAUCUGAAGUAUUUUCGCCACAUUUAUCUUCAAUUGUCAAUUUUUAACGUUCAUUUAUUUUAAGACUCGAGGAGAGACUAGUUCGCUGAAACCGAUCCUCUUCCCUGGUCGACCUGGAAUCCUGGAGAAUGGUUCGAGCAAUUCGAUAGCCAUUAAUUCGAAGGUGGAACGAGGACAUCAGGUGUCUCUUGGGGAAGAGGGAUGAUCCUGGAAACGGUAAACGAGCUGACGAAAGGGAAAGGAACGGUUCCAACCGUGCAGGAAUUCGUACUGAAAGAAGACAAAGUUGGAUAAAAACAAUUAGAGAUGAAAAAAAAAAAAAGAAAAAGAAAGAAAGAGAGAGAAAGAAAGAAAUGUCGAGAUGGAAGUGGCACAUACGGACUUUCUUUGAGUGAUUUAUGGUCUCUGAAGAUAUCAGAGAGAAUACGUUUCAGAUAUUAGGAUUUUUCUUAUCGAUAUUUUAUUCCAUCUAUAUAGAGAAACAAAAAUAUUAUCGUAUUGAAUGAUAAAUGACGCUUUAUUGGAUGUUUAAUUAAUCAGAUCAAGGAUUUUUAUUAUCUCAGUGUCUUUUUAUAAUCCAUCACAAUUAAUAAAAAGACAAUUGUAUUCAAGCAA
Apis cerana (Asiatic honeybee) is the source of this 2194-nucleotide long non-coding RNA. RefSeq lists it as uncharacterized. The record is from RefSeq and is a predicted model, not a curated record. Lineage: Eukaryota; Metazoa; Arthropoda; Insecta; Hymenoptera; Apidae.